Molecule: long non-coding RNA, 791 nt
Filed under: Vigna radiata
Lineage: Eukaryota; Viridiplantae; Streptophyta; Magnoliopsida; Fabales; Fabaceae
Description: long non-coding RNA (VRAD_LNC013579)
Source: RNAcentral
AUCACUCAAGUGUUUAAGGUGACACUCCACUCUCUAUUGUUCACAAGUUACAUGAAACAAAAUUGCCCUUCAUCUCAAACAAUCAACAUCUUUACAUGCAAAUGCCAUCAAAAGGACUUUUNCAAGGCUUGUAAUGAGGUUGGGCCAACAAGAAAAAUUGGUUUUUCUAGAAUGCAAAAUCCUUGAGUCAAGAGAGCUAACAAAAUAUUCAAUACUUAAGCACAACUCUCUCACCAAUGUCUCUCAUUCCCAACUUCUUCCCUUUUCUUUUCUUUUUCAUUGAGCUCAUCUUAAUGCUUUUCUUCUUUUCUUUUCUUUUUCUCAUGAAUUUUUCUCUUUUCACAACAAUUGAGCUCAAUGCCUUUCACUUGCCUUUCACUUGCUUUUUCAAUUUUCCCCCGUACAACCCCAAACUUGAACCUUUUCAUCACAUACAAUUAAGCUCAUCCCAACUCAAGGUAAAGAAUUUCAAAACAAGGGUUCACAUACUGUAUAAGGCUAAGGUUCAAAAAGGGUAUAAUACUUCAAGUAUUUUGGGUGAAAAUUUGGCUAAAGAAGUGUUUUCAAAAAUGGCCUUGAUCAUAUGACAUUCACAUGCAAUUCAAUCAAUCAUCAAGAUUAAGGCAAUAUCAUUCAUGUUUUCCUGUGAACAAUGGAUACAUCAAUAAAAACUCUGGAGCUCAAAAACUCACACACAUGCUUUCUCACACAAAAUUCAUUCAUACACCCUGCCUAGCAUCAUGACCACAAUCAUAAAUUAUCACACAUCUAUUUCACAGAAUAUCAACAUG